Molecule: unclassified non-coding RNA, 342 nt
Filed under: soil metagenome
Description: partial contains 5.8S ribosomal RNA, internal transcribed spacer 2, and large subunit ribosomal RNA
Rfam family: 5.8S ribosomal RNA (bases 1-120)
Source: RNAcentral
GAUGAAGAACGCAGCGAAAUGCGAUAAGUAGUGUGAAUUGCAGAAUUCAGUGAAUCAUCGAAUCUUUGAACGCACAUUGCGGCCAUAGGUAUUCCUUUGGCCAUGCCUGUUCGAGUGUCAUUUACACCCUCAAGCCUAGCUUGGUGUUGGGCGUCUGUCCCGCCGUUCUCGCGCGCGGACUCGCCUCAAAGUCAUUGGCGGCGGUCGUGCCGGCCCCCUCGCGCAGCACAUUUGCGCUUCUCGGAGGCCCGGCGGAUCCGCGCUCCAGCAAGACCUUUCACGACUUGACCUCGGAUCAGGUAGGGAUACCCGCUGAACUUAAGCAUAUCAAUAAGCGGAGGA